CCUACGGGAGGCAGCAGUGAGGAAUAUUGGUCAAUGGGAGAAAUCCUGAACCAGCCAUGCAGCGUGCAGGACGACGGCUCUACGAGUUGUAAACUGCUUUUGUACCGGGGUAAAAUGCCUUACGAGUAGUGUUUUGCAUGUACGGUACGAAUAAGGAUCGGCUAACUCCGUGCCAGCAGCCGCGGUAAUACGGAGGAUCCGAGCGUUAUCCGGAUUCAUUGGGUUUAAAGGGAGCGUAGGUUGGUUUUUAAGUUAGCUGUGAAAUACUGCUGCUCAACCUCGAGACUGCCGCUGAUACUG
RNAcentral lists this ribosomal RNA (300 nucleotides) under uncultured bacterium. Its description in RNAcentral is "bacterial SSU rRNA". It matches the Rfam family "Bacterial small subunit ribosomal RNA", at positions 338 to 635 of the family's 1533-position model. The record is from RNAcentral.